UGUGAUUUUGUCUUUUCUGAUAGAUUUUGUAAUUUUACAUCCAGGAUCUUCAGGAGAAUUAAGCGAAACCCAAACUCCUCGUUCUCAACGAAGACCUUCUGCAUGACCAAGAACAUGAGUCUGCUCCCUCAAGGUAUUGAAGCUCAGAAGAAAUGUUCUCUAAAAUGUUGUCAUGCUUUUUAGUUACUGUAACAUUUUAACACUAACUUAUGUUUGAUACAGAAGGUGAUGUAGCUCUGGAGCUGCUGCCAGUUCUCCUCCCUGCUCCACCUUACUCAUUAGGAAGAGUUUCAGACCCAUCAACCUGGAAGUUCAGAAGGUUUCAUUGAUAUCCAACCUGUUGGGACAAACCUGGUGGCGCAUCUACAAAAUGUGACAACCCGUAUGUCCUCAUGCAGGGAGACAGGCAAAAAUGCUAAAGUGUCAUUAAAAAUGCUCCUUGUUUAAUGGCUGAAAGUUUUACUUGUAGUUUGCUUUAAAACAGACUUUUUUUCAUUCAAUGUUUUCUAAUGUGUAAUAACAGAUACUUCUGGAGUUGUAGACAAAUGAAUUGAAGUGAUUUAACUAUAUACUUUUGAAACAACUUACUUAUGUUUUGUAACUUUUGUAAAUAAAAUCUGCUGGCUCUACAUAUGUAUCACAUGGAAAUAAGAGAAGCUUUAAAUUCA
This is a long non-coding RNA of Poecilia latipinna (sailfin molly), 668 nucleotides long. RefSeq lists it as uncharacterized. The transcript is spliced from 2 exons. NCBI's taxonomy places the organism in Eukaryota, Metazoa, Chordata, Actinopteri, Cyprinodontiformes, Poeciliidae. The record is from RefSeq and is a predicted model, not a curated record.